RNAcentral lists this ribosomal RNA (460 nucleotides) under uncultured bacterium. RNAcentral's name for it is "partial 16S ribosomal RNA". It matches the Rfam family "Bacterial small subunit ribosomal RNA", at positions 338 to 795 of the family's 1533-position model. The record is from RNAcentral.
CCUACGGGGGGCUGCAGUGGGGAAUAUUGGUCAAUGGGCGCGAGCCUGAACCAGCCAAGUAGCGUGAAGGAUGACUGCCCUACGGGUUGUAAACUUCUUUUAUAAAGGAAUAAAGUGAGGCACGCGUGCCUUUUUGUAUGUACCUUAUGAAUAAGGAUCGGCUAACUCCGUGCCAGCAGCCGCGGUAAUACGGAGGAUCCGAGCGUUAUCCGGAUUUAUUGGGUUUAAAGGGUGCGUAGGUGGGUGGUUAAGUCAGUUGUGAAAGUUUGAGGCUCAACCGUAAAAUUGCAAUUGAUACUGGCAGCCUUGAGUACAGUUGCGGUAGGCGGAAUGUGUGGUGUAGCGGUGAAAUGCUUAGAUAUCACGAAGAACGCCGAUUGCGAAGGCAGCCUACUAAGCUGCUACUGACAUUGAUGCUCGAAAGUGUGGGUAUCAAACAGGAUUAGAUACUCUUGUAGUC